AUGCACCCACUUCUUCAUCUUGUCAUUCAGCUGUUUCCACUCCACACGCUGAACCUCGUCGAUGCUGAGCCGCUCGACGCCCAGAACUGUGAGGCACUCAUCAAGCAGGUCCCGGCGGAUGCCGCAGUAAACCUGCACGAGUUCACUUGCAUAGCCAGCGCGCCCCAUCCGCUCAGCAAUGGCGCGCAGCUCAUCAACAGCGUCAGGCCGCACCAGGUCGAACAGCUGGUCGUCGAAGGGGUUCCCCACGAGACUGGCGCUGCGGGCGGUAUCUGGCGCGCCCUCCUGGCUGUGCGGGGUGGUGGGGUCAAACUCGGAGGAGGUGUCGAGGUCGUCCAUGGACUCGAGCGAGAGGCGGCGGAGCGAGCAGUAGAGGCCGCUGGCGUCGAGCGGCACGGCGUGGCGGAGCAUGAGGUGGCGAGCGACUUGACGAUGUGGUGCGCCGCGGCGAGGACCUUGUCGUUGCCGGCGACGGCGACGGCGCCGACGCCCGCCAGAGGCACGGCGUCCUCGGGCGGCGGCGGAGACGCCGACAUCGCCGGCGGGCCGCUAGGGUUUGAUCCGGCGGUGGUUUACUGA
This 579-nucleotide ribosomal RNA is filed under the name Triticum aestivum (bread wheat). RNAcentral's name for it is "partial small subunit ribosomal RNA". The record is from RNAcentral. Lineage: Eukaryota; Viridiplantae; Streptophyta; Magnoliopsida; Poales; Poaceae.